RNAcentral lists this ribosomal RNA (403 nucleotides) under uncultured bacterium. RNAcentral's name for it is "bacterial SSU rRNA". It matches the Rfam family "Bacterial small subunit ribosomal RNA", at positions 356 to 773 of the family's 1533-position model. The record is from RNAcentral.
UGGGGAUAUUGCACAAUGGCGGCAACUCUGAUGCAGCAACGCCGCGUGAGGGAAGAAGGUCUUCGGAUUGUAAACCUUUGUCCUUGGUGACGAAACAAAUGACGGUAGCCAAGGAGGAAGCUCCGGCUAACUGCGUGCCAGCAGCCGCGGUAAUACGUAGGGAGCAAGCGUUGUCCGGAUUUACUGGGUGUAAAGGGUGCGUAGGCGGCUCUGCAAGUCAGGCGUGAAAACUAUGGGCUUAACCCAUAGACUGCGUUUGAAACUGUGGGGCUUGAGUGAAGUAGAGGUAGGCGGAAUUCCCGGUGUAGCGGUGAAAUGCGUAGAGAUCGGGAGGAACACCAGUGGCGAAGGCGGCCUACUGGGCUUUAACUGACGCUGAAGCACGAAAGCAUGGGGAGCAAAC